GGAAAAUAAAUUGUUAAAGUUCUAUUGGGACACCCUAUACAGUCGCAGUCUUGUGAUCCCGUAGGAUACACAUCUCAGUCUAACGCCCCGAGGGACGUACAUAUCAGUCUAGUGUUCUGCAGAAACACAUAUCAGUCAAAUGCUCCCGAAGGUGCACAAUAAAUUGGUGAUCCCGUGGGACACCUACAAGGUAAACAUCCCAAUACAAUCUAACAAUUUAUCCCCUCAUUCCAUUCAACCCAUCUUUCAGUUACUUCAAGUCACAAAGUUCUUUCUUUCAACAUCCUAACAGUCAACUUAUUUUACUACAGUCAUAUGUCUGUCAAUAAUAU
This 332-nucleotide long non-coding RNA is filed under the name Cucumis sativus (cucumber). Its description in RNAcentral is "long non-coding RNA (CSAT_LNC003126)". Lineage: Eukaryota; Viridiplantae; Streptophyta; Magnoliopsida; Cucurbitales; Cucurbitaceae. The record is from RNAcentral.